This 492-nucleotide ribosomal RNA is filed under the name uncultured bacterium. Its description in RNAcentral is "partial 16S ribosomal RNA". It matches the Rfam family "Bacterial small subunit ribosomal RNA", at positions 30 to 507 of the family's 1533-position model. The record is from RNAcentral.
AUUGAACGCUGGCGGCAUGCUUUACACAUGCAAGUCGAACGGUAACAGGCCUUCGGGUGCUGACGAGUGGCGAACGGGUGUGUAAUGCAUCGGAACGUACCCAGAGGUGGGGGAUAACGCAGCGAAAGCUGUGCUAAUACCGCAUGUGAUCUGAGGAUGAAAGCGGGGGACCGCGCAGCAAUGUUUGGCCUCGCGCCUUUGGAGCGGCCGAUGUCGGAUUAGCUAGUUGGUGGGGUAAAGGCCUACCAAGGCGACGAUCCGUAGCUGGUCUGAGAGGACGACCAGCCACACUGGGACUGAGACACGGCCCAGACUCCUACGGGAGGCAGCAGUGGGGAAUUUUGGACAAUGGGCGCAAGCCUGAUCCAGCAAUGCCGCGUGCGGGAAGAAGGCCUUCGGGUUGUAAACCGCUUUUGGCAGGAACGAAACGGUGUCCGCUAAUACCGGGCGCUAAUGACGGUACCUGCAGAAUAAGCACCGGCUAACUACGUG